ACGGGGUGCAGCAGGCGCGAAAACUUUGCAAUGUGCGAAAGCACGACAAGGUUAAUCCGAGUGGUUUCUGCUAAAGGAACCUUUUGACAGUCCUAGAAACACUGUUGAAUAAGGGGUGGGCAAGUUCUGGUGUCAGCCGCCGCGGUAAAACCAGCACCUCAAGUGGUCAGGAUGAUUAUUGGGCCUAAAGCAUCCGUAGCCGGCUCAGUAAGUUUUCGGUUAAAUCUGUACGCUCAACGUACAGGCUGCCGGGAAUACUGCAGAGCUAGGGAGUGGGAGAGGUAGACGGUACUCGGGAGGAAGUGGUAAAAUGCUUUGAUCUUUCGAUGACCACCUGUGGCGAAGGCGGUCUACCAGAACACGUCCGACGGUGAGGGAUGAAAGCUGGGGGAGCAAACCGGAUUAGAUACCCGGGUAGUCCCAGCUGUAAACUAUGCAAACUCAGUGAUGCAUUGGCUUGUGGCCAAUGCAGUGUUGCAGGGAAGCCGUUAAGCUUGCCGCCUGGGAAGUACGUACGCAAGUA
This 523-nucleotide ribosomal RNA is filed under the name uncultured archaeon. RNAcentral describes it as "bacterial SSU rRNA". It matches the Rfam family "Archaeal small subunit ribosomal RNA", at positions 325 to 849 of the family's 1478-position model. The record is from RNAcentral.